Molecule: ribosomal RNA, 698 nt
Filed under: uncultured bacterium
Lineage: Bacteria
Description: bacterial SSU rRNA
Rfam family: Bacterial small subunit ribosomal RNA
Source: RNAcentral
AGAGUUUGAUCCUGGCUCAGAACGAACGCUGGCGGCAGGCCUAACACAUGCAAGUCGAGCGAUCCUUUCGGGGAUAGCGGCGGACGGGUGAGUAACGCGUGGGAAUGUGCCCUUCUCUACGGAAUAGCCUCGGGAAACUGGGAGUAAUACCGUAUACGCCCCUUGGGGGAAAGAUUUAUCGGAGAAGGAUCAGCCCGCGUUGGAUUAGGUAGUUGGUGGGGUAAUGGCCUACCAAGCCUACGAUCCAUAGCUGGUUUGAGAGGAUGAUCAGCCACACUGGGACUGAGACACGGCCCAGACUCCUACGGGAGGCAGCAGUGGGGAAUCUUAGACAAUGGGGGCAACCCUGAUCUAGCCAUGCCGCGUGAGUGAUGAAGGCCUUAGGGUUGUAAAGCUCUUUCAGCUGGGAAGAUAAUGACGGUACCAGCAGAAGAAGCCCCGGCUAACUCCGUGCCAGCAGCCGCGGUAAUACGGAGGGGGCUAGCGUUGUUCGGAAUUACUGGGCGUAAAGCGCACGUAGGCGGACCAGAAAGUUGGGGGUGAAAGCCCUGGGCUCAACCUGGGAAUUGCGAUGGAUACUGGCGAGCUAGAGUACGGUAGAGGAUGGUGGAAUUCCCGGUGUAGCGGUGAAAUGCGUAGAGAUCGGGAGGAACACCCGUGGCGAAGCGGCCAUCUGGACCAGUACUGACGCUGAGGCA